RNAcentral lists this long non-coding RNA (895 nucleotides) under Pan troglodytes (chimpanzee). RNAcentral describes it as "lincRNA". Lineage: Eukaryota; Metazoa; Chordata; Mammalia; Primates; Hominidae. The record is from RNAcentral.
AACAGGAUGCUGAACAGCUGAACACAGCGGACUUCAGCCAGCCUAAGUGGGUUUCUGCUCCUUGCAACAAGAGGCCUGAAUAGAAGCCCCUUCUUCAGGGGAGUGGCCAUCAGCUCAGAAAGAGGAUCCCAUGGGAACUGACUUUGCUGGUGACCAAGGCCCUACCACCAGGGCGCCCUGCCCAUGUAUCCCAAGCAGAGGAAGCAGAACCAGCGGUGUAACUACUGUGCUUGACACCCAGGGCAGGUCUUUUUUUAACUCACCAAUCUUCCAUGCAACAAAAUUGUUUUCUGUGAAAAGCAGGAAAUGAAUAACAAUAGCGUAGGUACUCCACUUCAAAUUUCCCAAGAAAUUCAGAAGAAUUGUGAACAAGUUGCUGGUUUCACAAUACUGCAAGACACUGCAAGUUAUUCCAAGUUCCUACAGGACAACAAUGCACAAUUAUUUACUUACUUAUGUUUAAAUAUACCUAUCAGUUUGACUUUGAUCCUUUGGUGACAUUCUAAUAUAAUAAUUUAUGUAAAUAAUUAUUCAGAGACCAAUGAGAGGAUUUUAAUAAGUGCAAAAUGUUAGCAAACGGUACAACAUUGAUAAAUCUAUGGUCUGUAUUUUGUUCUGCCAUUUCAAAAUAAUUAAAAAGUAAGUUUCAAUUUAAAAACAUUAUUGAAAUUCAGUAAAAUAUUUCAAGCAUGAACUAAAAUAUACACUUACUAAACACAAAUAUUACACCUCACAUUUCACACUCUGUUUCAUUGUUUUAAAUUUUAAACAGAAAUAACUCCACCGGCCACCUAGAAUGAUCAAGUCAGGCAACUCAAGUUACUUUGUUUCAUCUUCACAAUCACUGUGCUAUCAUUGUUCAUUUUGAAUCUACUUUUUAAACACAAGAAUAUUU